Molecule: long non-coding RNA, 322 nt
Organism: Otolemur garnettii (small-eared galago)
Lineage: Eukaryota; Metazoa; Chordata; Mammalia; Primates; Galagidae
Exons: 2
Source: RefSeq, a predicted model, not a curated record
CACAGUUAAGACCUUGUGAACACUAGAAUUAUUCCGUGGCCUCUUCACUAUUGAUUGCAACAAUAUCAUUUACCUGAAGUGAUGCGGUGACCACAAAAACCAUGACCAAGACACCAAAUUUCAGCUUCCACCUCUCGGUCCCGAAGAGCCUCUCUCUGUCAGUCCAAAAUUCAGCCACAUUUCCGAAGAGACACCUGUACUUGUGUAUUUUAACGGGGCUAGAAACUGACAAACGGCCCAGGAACCCUGAAGGGCUUCGGGAGGCUCCCAGAAGGGCAGCAAAGUGCCCUCUCAACAUUAGUAAAAUGAAACAAAAGUAUCA